GAUGAAGAACGCAGCGAAAUGCGAUAAGUAAUGCGAAUUGCAGAUCUCCGUGAGUCAUUGAAUCUUUGAACGCACAUUGCGCCCCCUGGUAUUCCGGGGGGCAUGCCUGUCCGAGCGUCAUUACAACCCUCAAGCUCAGCUUGGUGUUGGGCCCCGCCGCCCCGGCGGGCCCUAAAGUCAGUGGCGGUGCCGUCCGGCUCCGAGCGUAGUAAUUCUUCUCGCUCUGGAGGUCCGGUCGUGUGCUCGCCAGCAACCCCCAAUUUUUUUCAGGUUGACCUCGGAUCAGGUAGGGAUACCCGCUGAACUUAAGCAUAUCAAUAAGCGGAGGA
Molecule: unclassified non-coding RNA, 329 nt
Filed under: soil metagenome
Description: partial contains 5.8S ribosomal RNA, internal transcribed spacer 2, and large subunit ribosomal RNA
Rfam family: 5.8S ribosomal RNA (bases 1-120)
Source: RNAcentral